This 253-nucleotide ribosomal RNA is filed under the name uncultured bacterium. Its description in RNAcentral is "partial 16S ribosomal RNA". It matches the Rfam family "Bacterial small subunit ribosomal RNA", at positions 524 to 776 of the family's 1533-position model. The record is from RNAcentral.
UACGUAGGGUGCGAGCGUUGUCCGGAAUUAUUGGGCGUAAAGAGCUUGUAGGCGGUCUGUCGCGUCUGCUGUGAAAAUCCGGGGCUCAACCCCGGACUUGCAGUGGGUACGGGCAGACUAGAGUGUGGUAGGGGAGACUGGAAUUCCUGGUGUAGCGGUGAAAUGCGCAGAUAUCGGGAGGAACACCGGUGGCGAAGGCGGUUCUCUGGGCCUUACCUGACGCUGAGGAGCGAAAGCGUGGGGAGCGAACAGG